GUACACGCUGUGACUAGCAUAUCAAUAAGCGGAGGAAAAGAAACUAACAAGGAUUCCCCUAGUAACGGCGAGUGAAGCGGGAAGAGCUCAAAUUUGAAAUCUUAGAGGGUUUCCCUUUACGAAUUGUAGUUUAAAGAAGUGUUUUCUGUUGAGGUUUUGGUAAAAGUUCUUUGGAAUAGGACAUCAUAGAGGGUGAGAAUCCCGUAUUUGACCUUUACUUUCAACUUUGUGAUAACACUUUCAAAGAGUCGGGAUUGUUUGGGAAUGCAGUCCAAAAUGGGUGGUAAAUUUCAUCUAAAGCUAAAUAUUGGCGAGAGACCGAUAGCGAACAAGUACCGUGAGGGAAAGAUGAAAAGAACUUUGAAAAGAGAGUUAAACAGUACGUGAAAUUGUCAAAAGGGAAGCGUUUGACACCAGUGUUGUUUUUCUGAAAAUCAAUUAAAGAACUGUUUAUGCUAAGUUGUUUAGACUUUAUCAGCUAACUGUUUAGUCUUGAGCUUUUCUUUAAUGCAGCUUUUCAGUUAACAAGUCAACAUCAAUUUCUUUUGCUGUAAAAAAGCUUGAGGAAGGUGGCUUGAGAUUCGUCUUAAGUGUUUAUAGCCUCUUGCCUAUGCAGUCGGAGAGAUUGAGGUCUGCAGCGUAGAUCCUUCGGGGCUAAAUGCAUUUGUGCUAAGUUAUAACAUUUUAUAGACAACCUGUUGACUAUGAUUUGUCUUGUAGCUUACUCGCUUAUGUUAUUUUACCUACGCUUAGGAUGUUGACAGCAGUAUAGACUGU
RNAcentral lists this ribosomal RNA (777 nucleotides) under uncultured Neocallimastigales. RNAcentral's name for it is "partial large subunit ribosomal RNA". It matches the Rfam family "Eukaryotic large subunit ribosomal RNA", at positions 22 to 637 of the family's 3401-position model. Lineage: Eukaryota; Fungi; Neocallimastigomycota; Neocallimastigomycetes; Neocallimastigales. The record is from RNAcentral.